This is an RNA transcript of Eriocheir sinensis (Chinese mitten crab), 1506 nucleotides long. RefSeq lists it as uncharacterized. The record is from RefSeq and is a predicted model, not a curated record. The transcript is spliced from 7 exons. Lineage: Eukaryota; Metazoa; Arthropoda; Malacostraca; Decapoda; Varunidae.
CCGCCCCAAAGCUCCCUCCAUGGCCUCCUGCAGGGCUUGAGGUGGUCAGGCUCCUCACAGUGCUGCCCCACGCAGUGCCAGGGCAGUGCCACACCUGUAAUCUGCGGCGCCAUGCCCGGACUGAGGGCGCCGCUGGACUGUUGUGCCGAUACGAAGGCAUGACUCUCCAACGGGUCACCUGUACAGCAAGAGCAAGAGCAGGACCGCCAGCCCGCCUCGGCCCCUCAGCCCGCCCCAAGGCUCCCUCCAUGGCCUCCUGCAGGGCUUGAGGUGGUCAGGCUCCCCACAGUGCUGCCCCUCGCAGUGCCAGGGCAGUGCCACACCUGUAAGCUGCGGCGCCAUGCCCGGUUUGAGGGCGCCGCUGGCCUGUUGUGCCGAUACGAAGGCAUGACUCUCCAACGGGUCACCUGUACAGCAAGAGCAAGAGCAAGACCGCCAGCCCGCCUCGGCACCUCAGCCCGCCCCAAAGCUCCCUCCAUGGCCUCCUGCAGGGCUUGAGGUGGUCAGGCUCCUCACAGUGCUGCCCCACGCAGUGCCAGGGCAGUGCCACACCUGUAAUCUGCGGCGCCAUGCCCGGUCUGAGGGCGCCGCUGGACUGUUGUGCCGAUACGAAGGCAUGACUCUCCAACGGCUCACCUGUACAGCAAGAGCAAGAGCAAGACCGCCAGCCCGCCUUGGCCCCUCAGCCCGCCCCAAGGCUCCCUCUAUGGCCUCCUGCAGGGCUUGAGGUGGUCAGGCUCCCCACAGUGCUGUCCCUCGCAGUGCCAGGGCAGUGCCACACCUGUAAGCUGCGGCGCCAUGCCCGGUUUGAGGGCGCCGCUGGCCUGUUGUGCCGAUACGAAGGCAUGACUCUCCAACGGGUCACCUGUACAGCAAGAGCAAGAGCAAGACCGACAGCCCGCCUCGGCACCUCAGCCCGCCCCAAGGCUCCCUCCAUGGCCUCCUGCAGGGCUUGAGGUGUUCAGGCUCCCCACACUGCUGCCCCACGCAGUGCCAGGGCAGUGCAACACCUGUAAUCUGCGGCGCCAUGCCCGGUCUGAGGGCGCCGCUGGACUGGAGUUGCCGGAGCCAGUGUUGACGUCGGACAUGAUGCCACACUUUGAGGACGUAGCGAUCAUUCCUAACCCCGGGGAGCGCGCCGAGGCCAUGCGCCAGCUGAUCAACCGCCUGCCAACCGCCAACCGCCUGCUGCUACAAUACAUGUUCAAGCAUAUGGGACACAUCAUUGCAAGGCAUCUUGUCAGCCGUCCCAGCCUCUCGUCACCCUAUCCCCGCUGGACUCUGGGUAAAGACGUGACCAACCCCCAGCCUCCAGCCUCUUGUCACACCUCCAAGCCUUUCCCCGCUGGACAUUGCUUCGAGACGUGAUGAACAACAACAGCCUCCACCAUUUGCCACACCUCCGAGCCUCUCUCCUCGUCAUUUGCCCGGUGGACCCUGGACGAGGAGGACGUGAGGAAGAGGAGGUGAAGAUGAAGACGAGGAAUAAGUGUUGAGUGUUGGCUU